GGUGUAGCUCAGUGGUAGAGUGCAUGCUUUGUCUGUAUGACAUCCUGAGUUCAAAUCCCAGCUGCUCCC
This 69-nucleotide transfer RNA is filed under the name Dallia pectoralis (Alaska blackfish). RNAcentral's name for it is "tRNA-OTHER". It matches the Rfam family "tRNA". Rfam says of the family: Transfer RNA (tRNA) molecules are approximately 80 nucleotides in length. Their secondary structure includes four short double-helical elements and three loops (D, anti-codon, and T loops). Lineage: Eukaryota; Metazoa; Chordata; Actinopteri; Esociformes; Umbridae. The record is from RNAcentral.